RNAcentral lists this ribosomal RNA (440 nucleotides) under uncultured bacterium. RNAcentral describes it as "partial 16S ribosomal RNA". It matches the Rfam family "Bacterial small subunit ribosomal RNA", at positions 338 to 795 of the family's 1533-position model. The record is from RNAcentral.
CCUACGGGUGGCAGCAGUGGGGGAUAUUGCACAAUGGGGGAAACCCUGAUGCAGCGACGCCGCGUGGGUGAAGAAGCGCCUCGGCGCGUAAAGCCCUGUCAGCAGGGAAGAAAAAGACGGUACCUGAAGAAGCAGCCCCGGCUAACUACGUGCCAGCAGCCGCGGUAAUACGUAGGGGGCAAGCGUGAUCCGGAUUUACUGGGUGUAAAGGGGGCGCAGACGGCGAUGCAAGCCAGGAGUGAAAGCCCGGGGCCCAACCCCGGGACUGCUCUUGGAACUGGGUGGCUAGAGUGCAGGAGGGGCAGGCGGAAUUCCUGGUGUAGCGGUGAAAUGCGUAGAUAUCAGGAGGAACACCGGUGGCGAAGGCGGCCUGCUGGACUGCAACUGACGUUGAGGCCCGAAAGCGUGGGGAGCAAACAGGAUUAGAUACCCGAGUAGUC